AUGAUUUGUAUGUUGAGCGGCAUUCUGAUUUGUUCUUGAGGGAACGAUUUGUAAUGAUGGUAAGGUUGAUUUCUUGUAAUCUUGAGUGAUUACGAUCUGAGUGCACCGAUCUGUACUCCUUGAAUGCUUUGGUUUCGAUUUUCACUUUGUGGCUACUUACUAUGACAGAAGCUUAAAGGAUUUGGUUUUAUUGCCUUAGGGCAAUCGUUGAAUGAAUUUCAUUUUAUUCAGUUCUUGUUUUCUAUUUCUGUUUACUGCAUAUUUUUAUUGUAAAAUCACUUAAUCGUUUGAACCUCCUUUUAACAGCAAUGAUAGAAUUGGACAAAAUUGAACAAUAAUUACUUAUUUCCGUAUAAAUUGAUACAUAGCAAUCGCUACAUUACGACAGAACUUUUUCUCAUAAUUCAUUGUUAACUAAUUUCUUUGAUUGCUGAAAUUAACCAUGGACCUUUGGCACCUUCUUUCACGCACAUAAAAAACAUACACACUAGCCAACAUAGGAUGUACACACUUGACUCACAAUGCCAAACAAUUACUUUGACAAGAAGCAACCAUAGAUAAUUUGUACUAAAUUGGGUAUUAAUGAUUCCAUUUAUGAAGAAAAUACAUAUGAGCACAAUCAUAAUAAGUGUUUGCACACGAUAUGGUAAUACACCGAAGAUGAAUAUAAUAUGUUCCCCUUCUUGAUAGAGACAGAGCAGAGAUAAAGAGCAAACACAAAGACGAAGAAAAAUGAGGUGUCGGUUGACGGGAGAUUGAAGUAGGACAGAUGGGAAAGUGGAUGCAUAUUGGAUGAGGGUAUGGGAUGCCACUAGUUGGGUUCGUUUUGCCGAGGAAGAAAGAUGCUAUUCAAUACCAAUGAUGCUAAACAUUAGUUUAUGUGAUAACUGCAUGUUAUUAAAUGAUAUAUUCACUUAAAUGUAAUGUCACAUGAAUCAUUUAAUUGAACCUAUAAAGUGUUAUCACCUAAAUUGAUUCUCUAGCACCACUAGCAUUAGAUGGCAUUAUUUGCCUAGUAUUCAAGAAAAUAUCUUUCGAAUUAAAAUGAUCGUAAGAAUACAAUUCGUUAACAAGUAAUAAAGUGAAUUUGAGUCUAAGAAUCAUCCUACAGGAAUUGAUUUAGUUUAAUUUUAAUUAUCAUGACCAUAACUAAAAUGAAAGUAAUGUUUUGUCUUGGUUUUGUGACAAAAUAACAUAACAUAUUUAUGCAAUUAUGAGUAAGUUAACUAAGUUAAAUGCAAAUUAUGCUAAAUGCAACUUGAUGUAAUCUAAUGAAUGACAAACGUAUCAGGAUCCCAAAUUCCCAUAUAAUAAUCAUUUUUGACCUUAAUUUUACACUUUGACAACUAGGUUGAAUUUUGAAAAAUCAAUGUUCUUGUUUUAUUUAACAAUCUCUCUUGAGUAAUAUUAAACAUACUCUCAUUUAUGACUCAAUUAUUUUUCUAUGACGGAUGCAAACAUACAAAAGUGUAUGAAUUUUUAUGAACACUUAAAGAUUCAUAUAAAAUAUAGCGGUAUAUAUCUAUCUGCUGUCGGACCCUAUGACGAUUUGCUUCAUAUCAAGCCUAUUUUCCUUUUUUCGAAUGCAUAAAAUAAGUCACCGAAUUCACACAAUUACCGUGCACAAUAAUUUGGUGAAAAAUAUAAUCAUAUAAAUUAUACAAUGUCUAAAAAUGUGUUUUCAUUGUCAAAUAUGUAAAUUUAAAAAUUAAAAAUUCAUACUAUAAAGUUCAUCGUUCUCCUAACGUAGAAAUCUAGCAUAACAUAUUAUGAAGAAGAAAACAAGAAUUAUAUAGAGUAGACAUCACCCAAAUUAUAAAUUUUAAUUGGAUCUUGAUGUCAUGGAAUCUUUCUUCUUGUUUUUUACCAUCUUCUGUGCUCUCUAAUGUGUUGUAAUGCAUGAUAAUCUACUUAUGGACGACCAUAGGUCUUUACAAGACGUCCCAAAUAUUGUUUUCCAUAAGAGUCAGUGUCAUAUAAAGAAAAAAAAAAUCGUCCAAAAAUGUAUUAUGCUAUAGCAUAGAUCAAUCAACGUCAGCCCUAAAAACUCCCGUUGCCUACCAUGCGACCAUAUGGAUAAAUGAACAAUGCUAUCGUGGCAAAGAUCCAAUUUUUAUGUUUUAGUUAUUGAAUUCCAUUUUCUCGUUUCUUGAUCUCUUUUCUCGCUUCUUCUUUUUCCAAUACUUCAUUCCUUUCUCUCAAAUGGUCUUCGACUCUUUCACAUAUUUGUUUUUUCUUUCGGAUCAUCUUUUGGCUAUUUGCAUUUUGGUUCCCAAACUUUGAUUUUCUUCCAUUUUAGUCAUUUUCGCUUGUUUCUCCUAAAUUGCACCAUAUUCAUCGAUGUUGUCCUGCAAAGCAUAAUUUAUAUAGAAUUAAGCCCUAUUUCAAUAUUUACCCACAAUUAUUCAUGUUUCUGGUUUGAAUAAGUGUAUAAAAUGCACUUAUAAACUAGAAAAGUUAGAGCGGAAGUUAAUACUCAUUUUCUUAUAAAUUAAUAGUCUUAUAGACAAUGAGUUUUUUAAACACUCAAAUUAGGAAAAAAAUGUCUCUAAUAAUCCAUGUUUCAUUAAAUAUUUAAGAUUGUACGGUUAUGUUAAACCUAGAAAAAAUGAACACCUUGAUUACCCAUUUUCGUAUAAAUUGACAACAGUGAAAUGUUUCUUGACACCGUGUGUUGUGUCAUUUUUUGCCAAGACAAGUUGAACACAAACUUAAUUUCUCAUUUUUAUAUAAUUUGUAAUCUUACAACUUAUAUAUUAAAUAAUUGAACUUUUGCUUAAAAUUCAUAACUUAUUUCUGGGUUUGCUCAAAAUUACCUCUGGGCCCUGGCUGGACUCUUCAGUCUUCACACGCGCACACUCGUUUGCAAACAUAGGAUAUAUAUACUUGAGACUCUCACUGCUCUCAUACACAUUUGGCAAAACCAAACAAAUAUCUCUUCAGUCUCUCUGUCUCUCUGGUGUUCAGACUGUUCAAUAUCAUCUGUGUGUGCUCUUCUUCUGCUUCAUUUGGGCUUUUGCCCAUUUUUUGGUUUUGUGAGAUGAAACUUUUUUGGGUCACAAAUUGCGAAAUCUUGAUCUUGUCGAAUCCCUCUAUUGAGUUUUGAAGUUUCUUGAUCUGGGCUCUAUAUAAUCUCAUUCAAGAUUACAUUUUUUUGCUAUAAAAAUCAUUUCUUUAUCUUUUUUCAAGUUAUUUUGGAUACCUUUGCAUUGAAAAUUUACACUGGGCUUGGUGGUUUAGGAGUUUCGGUUCAUAUUAGUGAGUUCUCUAAUGGUUUCUCGGUGAGUUUCAUUUCUUUUUUAUUUUUCUUAAUUAUUUAAUUUCUGUGGGUUUUGUACUGUUAUUUGGUUCUAAAUAGGGGAAAGAUUUUUUUUUCCCCUGAAAACCGUGUGUUUAUUUAUAGUUUCAUUACUCCAUGGAUCUAAUCUUCAUUGUUUCUGAAAAAAGAUUGAAAGAUUAGUGUUUUAUUGUCAAUUGUUUAAUGGGUUGCUACUGAAGUCCAAGUUCAGUUUGUGUUAUAAACUGCAUACAACAAGUGCGAGCAUCUGGUUUUCUAUGUGGGGCAAGCUUUUAGGCCAACUAGGAUGGAGAGGUGAAAAUUGUGUAUAGGAUUCUGAUGUUGGUACAAGUUAGGAGUCCUUGUGUUGUUAUGUGGGAUGGUAAAAUUGGUUCUUCACAUUAAUCCAAUGGUUGUAGAAUAUGUUAUAGGUAUUGAACCACCUCGUCUAAAAAGGCUUAAACCAAUAACGAGUGACACAUGUUCAACGUGCCCUCGUUUCCUUAACAAAGGUCUAUAUAUGUACAUUUUUCAGAGUUGAAACCACCAUAUGUAAAAGAUUAAGCUAUUAGAUGAGGUGGUUUAGCACUAGGCUGCUUUAUGUUGGAGCUUGUAAAUUCUUAAUAACGUGUUCAACGUGCCCUCGUUUCCUUAACAAAGGCCUAUAUAUGUACAUUUUUAGGGUUGAAACCACCACAUGUGAAAAGCUUAAGCUAUUAGACGAAGUGGUUCAGCACUAGGCUGCUUUAUGUCGGAGCAUGUAAAUUCUUAAUACUGUUUAGUGUAUAAGGUGCUGAAAAUUUGAGCAAACAUUUACUAUCCAUUCUUUGUGAUUUCAUGAUGCAAUGUUGUAUUAUGUUCUUCGACAAAGUGUAGUGUUUAUAUUCUUCUCUUGUGCCUAUUGGGAAAAGGGAUUAGCUUACUGUUCUUGUUUUAAACUCUUUUCUUGUGCCUUUGAUUGACUACUUGAAUUAAAUGGGUGGAACAAUUAUGAUGAUGUACUAUAAGUUCACUUCCUUGCCCUUACAAACAUGUGAUUUUCAUAAUUAGUUGGAUUCGUUUAUAUAAAACGAUUUUCUUACCAAAUUUUUCCAAGAAUAUCUAACACCGUAUAUACAAUAAUUUUCCCUAUAAUGGUUCAUAUUUGAUUAGUUCAGUUAUGAAGACCUCAUUGGUUAUAAACAUACUCAUGAAAUUCAUAAAUAAUUUUUUGGGCAAUGAUACGUGUAUAUAACCAUUUACACACUGCCUUACUUGUGUGGGCCUCCUCCAUGUGAGGGGAGUUAAAGACUGUGUGUACAUCUUGAGGUGUAUAUAUAGCAUUAUUCUAAUUUUUAUGGCUACUUUGUUUCACAGAAACAUCCAUUGCUUGCGUGAUUUAUCUGGGGUAUAAGAUUAUGGGUCGGGGUAGAGUGAAGGGGAAGAAAUUAUCUGUAGCUAACCAGGAUGAUCCUGGGAGCGGCGAGGAAGAGAAAAUUCCUGCACAGAAGAGAAGGGGAAGACCACAGAAAUCACUUAAAGACGAAAUAGAUGAUGACAAAGCACAGAAAAUAGGAGAUGAAUAUAGUGAGGAUACGACAACUGGUAUGCUGAACAAAGAAAUGAGAGGUUCAAAUUCGACACAGAAUGGGAAUAAAAGAAAAAAGGACGGCCACUUAAAGGAGAAAGCUGAUUCAGUUGAAGAUGAAAAUGAAAAUGAAAAUGAAAAUGGGCCUAGAUCAAGCACUGAGGACAUGAAUAAAUCAAAUGGCUUUCGUCCAGCUCGUAAUAGGCGAAAAAAUAAACCUUGUCGAGCUGCUGAAGUAGGUGUGGAUUUGAGACUAUUUUAGCUGUUGGAAUGGAGACCUAGUACAUCUCUACCUUUGUUCUUUCUUUAUUCCUCAGUUUUGGUUCUUUAUCAGGAAUUUGUCUUUAUUUUGAAAGAUUUUCGGAUCAUCAUACUCUCGGGAUUUUGAUGUUGCAAUGACAUAAGCGAGGCGUUAGUACCAUUUUAUUAUUGAUAAUAAUAAUCUGAUGUUCAGAUGAUUCCCUUUUUCUGUUCUUCUUGGUGAUUCUAGUAAUAUCAUGCACCCUGAAUCUCUUGUUUUCUUAUUUACUAAUAUGAUGUAAAAAGUUGGAGGGAUUUUGCUGUCAUAUUUUCAGUUUAUCUAAUGUUUUGUUGGACCCUGUGGAGCCUAAUCAGACUCUCACCUAUCUCAUUGACCAUGGAUCGACUUGAUAUUCCUACCAUAUAUACAAGAUUUUAGGGGGAAACCCCUUUUGAUAUAAGAAGGGCGUUCGGUCUUUGUAUACUUCUUUUUCAUUAUAGUAAAAAACUUGUGGCCACAUAAAUUUAGGUGACUGCUUAGUGUGUUUCUGAUUUUAUUUUGUGUAUAAUUAUAUAGCAUUAUAUAUUGCUCAGUUCAAUUCCAGCUUUAAACAUCAUGUGGCCCAUUCUGUUCAUUACAGGGAAAACAUAGAUGACUUUUAGCUAGGUUCAUUUUACUAUAUUUAAAGAGUUAAGCUGAAUUAAAGAUCACAUGCUUUUAGCUUGACACCACAAGUAUCUCUUUUUCCUAAUCGGGACGAAUGAAAAUUGGCCCUUGAGUGCAAAAAUAGAAGGAAACAUAAUGUAAGAUUCAAUUGUUGAGUGCGCAUGAGAGUAGGUCUUGGUAAGCUGAUAAAGCUGAUAAGCGAAAGAGCCGUAAUACAACAACAAAUAAUUUUAUUCCCAAAUUAUCUGAGUUUGAUUACGUGAAUCUAUUUUUCAGAAAGUUAUGAGAGAAAAAUUAAGAAAAUAACAAAACAUAAGGUGAUGUGAAUGCUCAAAUAGAUUGUUGAGAUUGACGUGUGGACUAAGAUGAGAAUCCAUGAGAGUCAAAAAGCAAUUGAUAUUCCUCUUUUGAGUUUUUAAAGUCGACUAGACGAUAGUAGAAUGCCAUGUUAGCCGCAUGAUCCAUGAGUGCUUUCUAUCUAGUUAUUACUCGCUCAUAAAUUCUUGGCACAUUCAUGAUAAAAAUUGAUUUGUAUAACUAUAUGACAUGACACAACACUUGACAUUGAUUAUUUGAUUUAACUUGUCUUCUAUCACCCCUCAUCUAUUUUACACAUAUUCCUAAACCGCUUGACUCCAAGAUAAUAUGAAACAAACCCUCUGAACAUUUUGUAUUUUUAGCUUAAUUCUAUAUAGUUCUAACUUGAUCAUUAAAUUGAGAGUGGGACCAUUCAUGGUCAGACUCACUAAUCGAGUCUUGUUUUUUAGAUUAUCAUGAAAACGCCUACAUCCUUUAUUCAAAGGGUUUGACCAGAUUUCAAAUCAACAACAAAUAUAGGAAUAACCCACUUUGUCAGUUGUUUUUGGCCACCUAGUUGAUAGAUAUCAUGGUGACGGCAAAUGAUUGGAUCAAAAAGUUGACUAUUUUUUAAACAGUUAAAUAAUAAAAUGUCACGUGACAUUUUAUGAAGGAAGAUGGUGAAAACUUUUGACAAAGGACAAUUGUUCUCAAAAGAUAGAGCAUGCAAUUCACACGUCUGGUACAAAAUGCAAGAAAAUUCUGUCCUUUACUAAGGUGAAAAAGGAACUAGUUUUUCGUGCAUAUUCAGACAUGGGAUAUGGUUACUUUUGCUUAUUUCUCAAUAAUUUACUUAUUUUCACCAUAUAAAGGAUUAGUUUUAUCAAUGCAAGCCUCUAACAUCAAAUUAUCGAAUAGGACUAUACAACCGUAGUAUUUUUCCUCCUGGCUUUGAAUUUGUAGCACCAUUAUCAUCUGUCUAUCGGGUUUCUGCUGACCAUAUCACUAUGAUUUUUGUUACAAAGAUCAUGUGCAUCUAAGUUUAAAUGUGUCGUGCUAGAUCAACAUGGCUCAUGUCCCCAUCAACUUAAUACAUGGUGGUAUGUUAAACAAGAUGAUGCCGACUGCAGAUAAAUUACGUGCUUUUCGAACAAUAUAGCUUAAAGUAGGCACUAGGCAUGUCUAAAAUUGAUCUACAAAAUCCAAUAAAAAGUGUUAAUAAAUGUAACUUUUAUUCAUUUUCCCUUUUCCAAAUUCACACGGCAGACAUUUAUUUGGAGUUUGCUCAUAUAAAGCAUUCUUACAUCAAAUGGAAAUGCUAUUAGGCACACCCUUCCCCGUUACUCCAGGUUCAGAAAAUGGCUUCAAAAGCUGAUAUGGAACUACCCCAGCUCCAGAUCUGUUCUUCAGAUUUCCAUCUGCAUUUCUAGCAUCAAUGAUACCUUCAAUCUCCUUCAAUUUCCCAUUAAACCGUUUGAAUGCAGCACUUAUAUACUUAUCUUCUUCCCAGUACGGCUGGAUCUUCUCCCCGAGAUAUUCCUCAUCAGGUGAAUGGUUUGACAAAACGUCUAAAAUAGCCAUCACACUUGUUGCUUGAACUUGUGAAGGGAAACAAGCCAGGAGAAACUCCUCGGGCCUAUUCAGAAAUUGUUCCUUCUCUGCAUCGUUUGGAUUUUCCUUUGGCAUUAUUGCUCUAGCAAUGGAAGGCCUGUUUGGGAAAUAUCCUGCGAAAUCAUAUUGACCAAAGUUUACAGCAGCAUGGUGACCUGAAGUUACCCAUACCAUGUUUGUGAGAAUCCCAAUUAGGUCUUCUGAUGUUUCUAACACCGGCCACCAGGGCUCAUCCUUCUUGUCCCCGUGGCCGACUGUUUGAAUUUCAGUCCACCAUGCUUGUAGUUCAUUGUCAGAUUUUACAAGGUUUGCUUCGGGAUAGUAGUAAGUGACAUAGUCCGUAAUCCAUUGCUUGAUGGCAUCCCAAAGAAGUAAACCGUCGUUGGCAUAGGGGUAGUCUUCUAUUGUUAGCUUUAGGCCAUGCGGAGCUGUUGGAUCCUCCACCGCCAUUCCCCUGGUUAUACCAAAGUCAUAUAAGUCUUCAGAGAGGAGCGUUUCACACUAAACUUCAAUAAAUAAAUGUGUCGACUUUCUAUAAGCCCAAGCUUUUAGAUGACAUGGUUCAACAAGUUACCUAUUAAUUAAAUCAGCUGGAAGAGCCUGAAGGUCGAAUUGCCAUAGUUGGUCGUAGGCUGCAGAGCACAGCUCUGCACAGUAUUUGCCUGGAGAGAAUGCCUUCUCAAUGAUUCCAUCUGCAUUAAUAAGGGCCUCGCGAGCUAAAGCGUUAAUCUCCAUUGUGUAUCGCAGGUGAGGAUGUAAUAGUCUGUAAAUCGGGUGCAUUGCGCUCAAUUGUCUAUUGGUUGAAAUUAUGUAAGGCUCCACACAACAAUGAGUUCUUAGCCUGCAUAUUUCCUAAAGUAAUUAAGUACAAUAUACACCUAAUGAAACUUGCGAUUCAGUACGUAAGGAAUAACGCUUAGCUUGCUGUUUUAGAUAACCUUGAAAUUAAAAUUAAAACAAGAAAAAGCCUGAAUUUACCAGUGACUGACUAACUGAUGAAGACCAGAGUCAUGAGCAAGGACAUGGGCUUUAGCCAACCUCCACAGCCAGAUGCCAGUGGCGUCCCAACACGGCUGGAAUACAUCCUUCCAUUGUGGCUUCCCAUCUAUUGGCGGCCGUGUUAGCUCAAUGGCUAAGGGCCUCAACGUGCCUGAAGGCAUUAAGAAAAACAAUGUCCUCGAUCCGUAGAGAGUUGUUCCCUUGAGCUCUCUUACUUUAUUCACAUAAGGUAAUAACAAGUCAUGAUAAUCUAAAAUGAACAGUUUCUUUUGCUCCAAUGCCUGCAAUGGUACAGUAUAUAAAUUGAGUUUAGAUAUAGAUCAUGUUGAGAAUUAGCUGUUCAGUUCAUCUCUUACCUUCUCAAGUGUCAUCAACCCUCCAAUUUCUUGUUCGAUAAUUUCCUUUGUGAUUACCGAUUCAGCAGGUCCAUAUACCUCAGGGUCAAGUUUGCUCUUCAAUGGCCAUUCCUGCAUGCAUUCAUUUGGAAUUAUGUGAUACUGUAACAUUAUUUCUCUUUAGUAAUUCCAAGAAGCUACCAUGGGACGAAAUUCACAAACUCUACGUAACUAAAGUAAGAAAACAAUGAAAAGAUUAACAUGCGUGUGGAACCAAUAUAUUUUUGAUAUUCUAAUGUUUUAUUGGAAUAUUUAAUCGAGUACUUCUUAGUCGGUAGUAGAAUUUUGUGAACAAGAAAGAUGUGUUUGAUUGAUGGAAACAAGUGCUUACAAAUAGCAUUACUCAAUACAUUUUCGCUACUAGUUCCAUCAAGACACUUAUGUUGCACGACAUAGAUGUGUUAAAAUUGAAUCAGAAAGCAUACCGUAACCAACUUGAUAUUGCAUGGAUUUAAUCCUGCCAGAGUUUGCCGAGCAAAUUCCUCGUCCCUAAACCAACAAAACCUAUCUCCUGCAAGAACAACCACAAGUAUAUCGAUCUAAGGUGUCAUCAUUGUCCCGAAACUAAUUACUUCGGACUUGUGACUUCACACAAGAAAAGUUAUUACUGUCAAUAAUUUCUGGUGUCUCAAAACGCAGGAUAUUAUUCUCAACAUCCGCAAUAGCCUUUACAAGUCGGGGUAGAAUAUUUCCCAAAAAUCCGGUAGCACUUUGCGCUGGUAGAUCGAAUCCUUCAUUGAACAGAGUCUCUAUAGCGGUGAAGUGGGGAAAUCCAAGUUCACUGUCUAUUACAGAAGUCUGUAUCAUCGGUACCAAUGAAUGAAGCACCGAGUACAAUGUUUUAGCCGAGAAUGUCAUCUGCUUCACUUCUGAAAAUGCCUCGUCUCUCGGCACAUAUACACUGAGGCUCCUCGACUCCGACAAUGGAUCUGCGAACAUGUAUCAAACAAAUGAAAAUGAAUAAAUUUAAAUUACAGAUUCCUACCUUAACUGAUUUACAUCAUCAUCAAGUUUAAUUUUGGAGCCAAAAAUGGAAUAAAAAAUUAUUUCAACAAGACGUGAUACUGUUCCGUGAAUCUUCAUCAACAAAACUGAACUCAAUCGUUGUGUUACAGUCAGCAACCUAUACGUAUUUUGAAAUUGAUAUUAAGAUUCAUCUUUUAAUUUACGUUCAAAAUAUAACUUUUUUCCCUUAAAAAACAAAAAAUAAAAAUAAAAGUAAAUUAUCAAAAAAUUGUUGCCUAUGUCUUACCUUUCUUCGUUUUCGGCCGACCAGUUCUGCACCGUCGAGGAUAUGGAUGUUCGGCUCCUCCGAGCACCGGCCGCUUCAAUUCGUCUCCUUUGUCGGGUUCGCCGAGAUCAUUAUAUACAACAUAAUCGUAUAUCCUUUCGAAGGCCUUGUGUUCUCCUGUGCCAUUGCCUCGCAGAAUUUCGAGCUCUUUUUUUCUGUAACUCUUUAGCCCACUGGGUGUUUCAGUUGGUAAAUACGACUGCAUGCUCGAUUUAUACAUAAAUAAGUAAUUUUCACAUAGAAUUUUUAAAGUGUUCUAAAAUAAACGCAUGUACUCGGAACAUUUUCAAAACGCCUCACAUAUGAGGUAUGCGCGUGAUAAUGUGAUCAAUUCAUUUCAUUGACCAUAUAUACACACUUAACCCAAAAUGUGCAUGCAUUUGGGUUAAAAAUUACAUCAAAAUUAAUCUAACAUGCUCAUUUUUAUAACUUAAAAAAAGCAAAUUGAGCACAAUUAACAUCAAAUUAGCCAAAAUCAUCUAAAUUCAUAAAUUAUAUGCAGCAAUCUACAGGGUUUUACUUUUAGAAAAAAUAAAAAAUUAAACAUAUUUUUCGUAAAGUUGCUAACUAUCUACGUGUUGCCUGAGCCUCAUUCUUCUUCGGACUUCGUCUAGUUUUACUAGCAAGUAAUGUUAGUAGUGCACAAUCUUGAAUUGUUGAUGGUUCCGAUGACGGGGAGGAGAUUAAUAAUGAUAUCUUAUCAUCUAAAUAUAAUAAAAAAUUUCGACUUGAAAUAAAGGAGCUUGAUUAAAAUGAUUUUGUAUUGGAUAACACGAAUAAUAACUUGGAUGAGGAAGUGUAGAUUGAAUUGGAAUCCGAUAAAGAAUUAAAACAACAUUUAGGAUUUUUUAAGUCAGUAUUCAUCUAAUCUAAUUGUACGAAUUGGCUACAAAGUAAUUAUAGUAUUUAUAAUUUUGAUCAAUAUGUAUUUGUUGAGAUUUUGAAGAAUAUGUGUUGGUGUCCGAACUCACAAAACUAGUUCAAACUUACCUUAAUUAUAGAAGGAAAGCUUAUAAAGAUUGAAUAGUUACUUUAAAGAAGACGGACUAAGAGAUCACUAAGUCAUUGUUUGGUAGAAAUUUUGAUAAUUGAUUAUUUGACCGUUAGAGAUAAAGUGGGUCCUAUUUAUGGGAGAAGAAUUCCAAAAUGACGGUUAGAAUAGUAAAAUAACAAUCAAAAAAUUGAUUUUAAAUGGCUUAAAAUAUGUAUCAAAUAAGCACUAAGUUAGCUCAACCCAGAUAGGUCAGUGACUCAUGACAAGUUAGCUCAAACUAUAAUAGGUCAACCCGAAUCAUAAUAGUUUAGAUUGACCUAUGACAUUAGCUCAGCCCAUGCCUGCCAUCAUCAAGAAACAUUAUCAUUGCAAUCCUAAACACGUCUCCUAAAUGAUGUCAUCACCACUCGGAUGAUCACUCCCAAAGAGAUAAGUGGCACCCAUGAUGCCAACACCUCAUUUUCGGCCAAUAAAAAAUCAGCAACGAUCACUUAGGUGACAAGCAAUUAUGACAUUGGCCACAACUACGAUCUAGAUACCAUGAGGACCUAUUCAGUUGACCUCAACAAUCAAUCAAACAACAUAAAUUUGAGCGAUGGUAUGCAUUUAUAGGUAGGCACUGUAACUAAUUUGAAGUCUAAUGGUCAAGUUGCUCAAUUAAAGGCAUAUAAAUAGAUAUAUAUAUGGUCCCUUCCAAAGGGCUGAACUCAAUAUAUUCUCUUCAACACAUUCCAAAUUUCAAUCAAUGAAAUUAUCCUUUAAUUUUCCUAAAUUCCAGCAAUCACUCAAUUAAUUUUCUAUUAUGUUGGUCAAAAUUUGCCACGUUAUUAUUAGUCAUCAACAAGGUUCAAGUAAUUGUAGUAUUUAUAAUUUUGAUUAAUAUAUUUUUUUUCUUGAAAUUUGAAAAAUUGAAGAAUUUCAAAGAUAGGAUUAUUUUAUUGAUUUAUUUGUUUAAGAUAUUUAAAUUAAUAUUAAAAAUUGAAAACCCAUGAUUACUCAUGUGCUUGUAAUCCUUAAUACUAAACUGAAACACAUUGCCUCACAUUACGCAUCCUAUAACCUUUUUUAUCAAUCAAAUUAGAAAUAUGCAAAUUAAUUAUUGGAAGGUAAGUUAAAAACUAGUUUUAAAUAAUAAUUUCUAUUUAAUUUGAUCUCGCUAAAAAUUAAAUAUUUUGAUGCCAAUAUCAUAGUAUUUUAAUGUUAUGAUUACUUUGAUUUUCUAAAAUUAAUAUAGUCCCAAUUUGGUGAUGAUUAGAAUCAGAUUUUUAGGGGAUUUGAUAAGAAUUGAUGAAAUAUGUGAUUAUUUAAAGAGAUGUGUGUCCCAUGAAAUACGUGAUUAAAAUUAAUUGUUGACUUUGAUUUAAGUUCGAAUUUAGAUUUUUAUUUUUACCAAACAUGGUAUAAUAUAAUGUAUAAGAGAAUAAAACAAACAAUAGUGUACCACAAGACCACCCAGGCUAAACCCUAGAAGUACAAUUUAAAGUUGGCACUCACCAAUAUCUUUUGGUUGUCAUGUUCUUUGUAACUAUAAUUUCAAGCACUAAAUUAUUUUUCUUGGUAGAAAGGAAAAAUAAAAUAAAUAAAAUAAUGACAUUAUAAGAUGGAGAUAGACUAACCUUGUCCACGAAAAAUAUCCUCGGCUGUUUAUUAUCAAACUUAGAAUGAAUCCACGAAUUACAAGUGAAAGUGGUAGAGUGACCAGAUACACCAUCGAUGACAAUAUUUUUUACGAACAUUUCUUUGUGGUGCUCAUUCUCUACACUUAUUGCUCCGACCUCUCCAAAAUCAUCAGGAAUUUUGAAAUUUGUCUUGUAAUAAUUUUCGUUGUCUUUCUUGCCUGCUCUAUGAGCAUAGGCUUUGAUGGUUGGCUUCUUUGAUCCGAUAUCUUGAAAAGAUGAUAGUUAGUUUUUUUAAAUAAAAGAAAAGAAAAAAAAGAGUAAAAAAAAAUAACUUUUUAUAAAAUCAAUUCUCAAAAAAUGGGGGCUCAAAUAGGGGUUAACUGUUAACAUGAUUAUGACAAAUGAGCAAUAGAAAUGUAUCUAAAUAAAUAAAUGCAUCCUCUUUAUUAUUAUUAUUAUUAUUAUUAUUAUUAUUAUUAUUAUUAUUAUUAUUAUUAUUAUUAUUAUUACAUACUUAAACCACUCUAAGUGGAAUUUUUUUAUUAAUGACCAUAACACAAAAUACAAUAAAAAGAAUAGUUUUGCUUCCGGUCCCCCACCCUGGACAUUUGGCUUUUUCCUAAAAAGAAUACAUAUUAUGUCAGAAGAUCAUAGUAUAGUGAAAAGUUUAAGAAACCUCACCUCGUGUACCCUGCAAUUCUUAAAUAGUUUAGUCGAAAAAUAAAUAUCUACUCUUCAAAAACUUAAUUAGCGAAUUUCUAAUUAAAAAAACUUUUCUCAAACCUAAGCAUAUAACUUUAAGUUUAUCGAAACUGAGACCUUUUCAUUUUAUAGCUUUUCAUUGUAAAGGUGCUUUUAUUUAGUUAGACAUUUGGUUGGUACUUGAAUGUAAGUUAUUCGACUUUGAUCACCACUUUAAAAGAAGACAAGAAAAUUAAUUUGGCUACUAAUUUAUGUCCCUGGUCAACAAAAUUUAUUAAUUACAUAUAAUCAUUCUUUAAUAAACAUAUAAUCAAGCAAAAGAUAUGAAUUUUCAUUUAUUACAAAUUAUGCAUGUGUUUGAGCAAUAAAAAAUAAAUAUGAACAUAUAUUAGUGUGUUCAUAAUUAUUUUUUAUUGCUCAAACACAUGCAUAAUUUGUAAUAAAUGAAAAUUCAUAUCUUUUGCUUGAUUAUAUGUUCAUGAUCAUGACAGGAGUACAUCACUAUUUUGAUAACGAAGAAAUGGAGAAUUUCUCAAAAUUGGCUCAUCAUAAAGUGUUUAUAAAUAAAUUAGAGUAUUAAAAUAAUUAUAUAGAAAUAAAUACAUUAUUCUUUAAUAGUUUACUCGGUACAUAAGUGUAGCAAGGCUUCUGAAAAGUUAAAAAUUGCUUCUAAAACUAAGAAGUUAUUUUUGAACUUGUUUGAAUAAUUUUUUGAAAGUUCUUUGUCUAACUAUAAGAGCUUUUAAAGAAAAUUGGAUUAGGGUUGCUUCUUUCUUCUAUGAGAAGCAGAAAACGUGCCAAAGGGAGCCUAGAUGUCCUCCACCAACAACUUAAGGAUUUUUAUUAUUUUUUUUUUUUUUCUACCAACCAGUUAAAGAAAAAGAAUUUCCCCAAAUUGAUGCUUUGCAGCUUUGCCGAACAUGCUAUUUAAACUUACCAGGAUCAACCUCCGCAGCAAUUAGCUCUAUAAGGAGAGUUCUACCAAGAACAUCAACUAUAAAAUCGAGCCCUCCGCUCAACCCUAAGUGAGUGAGAACUCCACCCACCGUUUGCUGCACAGUGAUUACUGCUUUAACGUCAGUGGUAGUGGAUUUUUUGGUCAAGGUUUUCACCGCUUUUAUCGUGCUUCUCACCUGCCCAACACGAAUAUUUUCAUGUUUUCUCACCGAGAUAAACUUCGGAAAUAUUUAUUAUUAUUAUUAUUAUUAUUAUUAUUAUUAUUAUUAUUAUUAUUAUUAUUACAUACUUAAACCACUCUAAGUGGAUUUUUUUUUAUUAAUGACCAUAACACAAAAUACAACAAAAAGAAUAGUUUUGCUUCCGGUACCCCACCCUGGACGUUUGGCUUUUUCCUAAAAAGAAUACAUAUUAUGUCAAAAGAUCAUAGUAUAGUGAAAAGUUUAAGAAACCUCACCUCGUGUACCCUGCAAUUCUUAAAUAGUUUAGUCGAAAAAUAAACAUCUACUCUUCAAAAACAUAAUUAGCGAAUUUCUAAUUAAAAAAACUUUUCUCAAACCUAAGCAUAUAACUUUAAGUUUAUCGAAACUUAGACCUUUUCAUUUUAUAGCUUUUCAUUGUAAAGGUGCUUUUAUUUAGUUAGACAUUUGGUUGGUACUUGAAUGUAAGUUAUUCGACUUUGAUCACCACUUUAAAAGAAGACAAGAAAAUUAAUUUGGCUACUAAUUUAUGUCCCUGGUCAACAAAAUUUAUUAAUUACAUAUAAUCAUUCUUUAAUAAACAUAUAAUCAAGCAAAAGAUAUGAAUUUUCAUUUAUUACAAAUUAUGCAUGAUGCAUGUGUUUGAGCAAUAAAAAAUAAAUAUGAACAUAUAUUAGUGUGUUCAUAAUUAUUUUUUAUUGCUCAAACACAUGCAUAAUUUGUAAUAAAUGAAAAUUCAUAUCUUUUGCUUGAUUAUAUGUUCAUGAUCAUGACAGGAGUACAUCACUAUUUUGAUAACGAAGAAAUGGAGAAUUUCUCAAAAUUGGCUCAUCAUAAAGUGUUUAUAAAGAAAUUAGAGUAUUAAAAUAAUUAUAUAGAAAUAAAUACAUUAUUCUUUAAUAGUUUACUCGGUACAUAAGUGUAGCAAGGCUUCUGAAAAGUUAAAAAUUGCUUCUAAAACUAAGAAGUUAUUUUUGAACUUGUUUGAAUAAUUUUUUGAAAGUUCUUUGUCUAACUAUAAGAGCUUUUAAAGAAAAUUGGAUUAGGGUUGCUUCUUUCUUCUAUGAGAAGCAGAAAACGUGCCAAAGGGAGCCUAGAUGUCCUCCACCAACAACUUAAGGAUUUUUUUUUUUAUUUUUUUUUUUCUACCAACCAGUUUAAGAAAAAGAAUUUCCCCAAAUUGAUGCUUUGCAGCUUUGCCAAACAUGCUAUUUAAACUUACCAGGAUCAACCUCCGCAGCAAUUAGCUCUAUAAGGAGAGUUCUACCAAGAACAUCAACUAUAAAAUCGAGCCCUCCGCUCAACCCUAAGUGAGUGAGAACUCCACCCACCGUUUGCUGCACAGUGAUGACUGCUUUAACGUCAGUGGUGGUGGACUUUUUGGUCAAGGUUUUCACCGCUUUUAUCGUGCUUCUCACCUGCCCAACACGAAUAUUUUCAUGUUUUCUCACUGAGAUAAACUUCGGAAAUAUUGCAAAAGAUGCAUUUCCUCCUAAGAUAAAUGGCUUGUAUUUUGGAAGUAGGAUUUGAUGAUGAGUAGACUGUGGUUUGGAGAUAUUUAGGUUCAACAUUUUUGUUUCUAUGAUUUAGGUCAUUACAAGUUUGUGUUGUGAUAACUCUUUGAAGUGUAGGCUUGAACUAAGAGCCCUUUAAAUAGAUAGGUUGACAUGUAUGCCUAAAUAUUAAAGUAAUUUUAUUUUUAUGAAGUCUAAUAAUGCAGAAAUGAUAUGGAUCAGCUAGUGUGUGUAAGAUCAAAAUUUUGUUUGUCGUUUUUAGUGAUUUAUUAUAUUAUACACGUUUCUAAUUACACAAUGUAAUAAUAAUAAUACAUGUAGCACAUUAGUGGUUGGCACAUUAAGACAUAAAUAUGAAAAAUAGCUCUAUGAUGUAAUAAAUUUAUAAUUAUGUGGAGUCAUAAGAAGGGUUUAUGUAUAUAUAAAUGAAAGGAAAAUGAAAAUAUUGAAAAUGGAGCAAUUCAUUGAACAAUAUUCCACGCAAAGAUGUAAUUAUUUAUAAAAUAAGCUCAUUACAACAACCUCAAGGUUGGCUACUGACAUAGCGAAAGUUAUAAGGAAGAUGAACAAAUCUCACAAACAAGAAAAUUCAUGAAAAGUUUUAUCUCAUUCAAAUCAAUCUACGGCCUCAAGAGACUUACAACGUAUUUAUAGCAAAAACCUAGAAAAUUCAGAAAUUAAAUAAUAAUAAUAAAAAAAAUAUUUUUUUUUCCAAAAAUGGAAAAAUCAAGAUAAUGACGGAAAUUAAUAGUCCUAAUCUUUGGAUUACUCUCCAACAAACAGAAUGUAAAUUCGAAUUUAUUUGAUUGAGAUAUACUCAAAAUAAGAAUUACCAAAAAAGGAAAAAAAGUCUAAACGAACAAAUUUGCCCGAAAUUGGUCCUACGUCAAAAGAAAAGUCUUUGAGUUUAACUUUUCAGUCCGUUUCCAACCGAAUUAGACUACAAAUUCUUCAAAAACGGACAAUUUCAAAUUUCCUCCCAAUUAUUUUUUCUUGCUCCGGUUCCACUUUGCCAUUAAGUCCAAUUCCUUUUGCACCACAUCAGCUACCAAUGGACCUUCAGUUUAAUCUCUUCUAUCCAUGACAUGUUCAUAAGGAGGCAAACUAUUGCACGGAUUGAAUGACCACUCAUUUCGAUCAUUUAAACUUAGGCUUACAUAGUUUUAGUUUCCCUACGGAUGAUUUAAGUUCUUAUUUACUGGCUGAUGCUCUUGGUAUAGUUUGGCCAAGAUUUCUAUAAUUUGAGACUCUUUUAUUCCGUAGUAUAUAUAAAAACAAAAUGUUAUGUCAAAAGGGAAAUUGUACCUCUAAUAUUCAACUUAUUGUUCGAUUACAAGUUAGUUUUUGUUAAAAUUCACCAACAAUCAGAAUGUUCAAAAAUCUUCAUAUCUUGUUGAUUUCGAGAUUGAUAUACGAAAAAUACAUUUCUAAGACGGUGAAGGAAUUACUGAGCGAAUUUCAUUCAACUAUAAGGUCAUUAUGUUAAUUUGAAUGUAAUGCAUGUUCCUAAACCUUUGAAAUGAGGAAGUUUGUCCCAACAUUUCUUUGUAAUUGUAGAAUCAAGGGUGAAGCUAGGAUUGUAGAGUUGUAUAGACAAAUUUCACAAAAUUUUAAUUGUAGGGACAAAGUUGAAAAUUAUAAGGAAUUUUGUUUGAAAUUCUUGGAUUUUAAAUUUAGUGUGGGAACUAAUUCGCCACUGUGUAGAAUUAGUAGUCAACUAUGGACACUGUCUAAUUCUUUGAUAAAAAGUUCCUCCAACAUAUUCAACCUCACGAAAUUGUUUUUUUUUUUUUUAAUUCAAAUUUUUGUUGACGUAUAAUUUUUUUCCAAGUGAAACAUGUUUGUGCAAUAAAUAAUGGAGAACCAACUUGCUUAAUUGAGCAAUAGGUUGAGGAAAAACAAUACAAUAUUGCAUGUUCAGUCGCCUUCGAAAAGAUGGCUGAAUAUCCAAAAUAAAUGAUUUGCACAUUAUAUCUAUCAAAUCAGUGAAACUAUUUGUAUAAACUAGGGGUGUAAGCGAUUCGAUUUUAUCGAUUUUCAACAGAUUUUCAAACCAAACAAUUUAAAACGGUUAGAGAAAAAUCCAAACCUAAACCAAACCAUUUUGAACGGUUUAAAAAAAAACUCAAACCUAAACCUAACGAUUUGGUCCGAUUUUAAACCGCUGGCUUCGUCAUAUAUUUUUUUGCCCGUCUACUUUUAUUUCAUUAAUUCAUUUAAUUUAAUAUAUAUUUAUAUCUCACUAGUAAUAAAUCUAAAACAAACUAAGCCCCUUUUUGAACCAAAUUUUUGGGACAAAAAAAUGAAAAUUUGGACCGUUAUUCCACAAGUUCAACCGUUUUUGUUGACCUGCUAUUUCAUGUAUGGGACCUAACCUCCUCCCCAAUAGUCAAUUUUCUCAUUAUGAUGAUAUGAAAAAUAUGGUUCAAACAAGGGCUAAAUAUAUCUUCUAUAAAUUUAAAUAACAACUAAAUCAGAGUGAAAUCACAAUAAGUUAAAACAUAGUUUUUUUUCAUUUUUGUUCACAUUUUUUAGGCUAAUGACGAUACAAUAACGUUACAAUAGAAGUCUACUAAACUAGAUAUAAGGUUCAAAAAACAUAAUGAUGCCCAACAAGAUCUUGUGAUCAUCAUAUCUGAAAAAAGAAUACUGAUUAAACAAAGAGAAUUACACAAUUUUACGUUUGUAUGAUAUUACGAAACACAUUUAAUUUCAAAUUCUUAUCUUAGUUUAUUCCAAAAAAUUAUUGAUCUGAAACUUUAUUAGUAGCAAAUAUUAUUAUCGAAGGUCUAGGAUCUCGUUGUCUCCGAUUUGGUAUAAUAGACUUCAAUUUAACUUUGAAUUGGCGUGAAAAAUCUAAAAACGAAGUGUAUGGUGCCGGUGGCUCAAAGCUAUGUUGGGCAUCGAUUGAAGUUCAUUUAAAUUUUGAAGAGAUCAUUUAAAUUUUGAAGAGAAAAUAGGCUUUUGAUAGAUUAUGUUAGUCUUGAAAUUAUUAAAUAUAUAUUAGGAUUAUUGGAUGAUGAUGAUGAUGAUGAUGAUGAUGAUGAUAAUAAUAAUAAUAAUAAUAAUAAUAAUAAUAAUAAUAUAUCUGUAUUAGAAAAUUAGGAAUUGACAAAAAUAUCCAAAAAUGACAAAACUAUUGAAUUUUACAUAUUUGGAUGAAUUCUCAAAAAAAUUCAUUUUUUCAUUUUUUUUAUUUUUAUAUAUUUUUUCGCCUAUCCGGUUUGGUUUUAAACUGCAAUUAAAAUUCUCAAACCUAAACUAAACCAUUUUGACCGGUUUGGUUUGGGUCAAAACCAUUUCGUUGAUCGAGUCCACGUGGCACCAAAUCGACGAUUUCUAAAAUGCGGUUCCAAUUCGAAUUUCUGAUUUUACGAUUUUUACUUACAGCUCUAGUAUAAACUAGAGAUAUUGAUAUUUAAAACAGGUGAGAUUAACAUUUUGUGGGUUAAUAGUUUUUUAUGCUUUAUUAUAUUUUGCAUAUUUCGAAGUACUUAAUUUAAUAAAUAAUAUUUGUACACUAGUGGUUGGGUCAUAAAGACAUUCAUUAUUAAAAAAUAGGUUUCCACAAUAAACACGAGUUUUAGAUAAUAUAUGGCUUAAUCAUUUUGUAUUAUGUAGUUAUAUUGAGUAUUCUAUGUGUGUUAGGUGUUAUAAUAUUCAUACUAUCCCCCUAUUUGACGGGAUUAAAAUUUUGAUUUUAAUCUAAAUCAAGAUCAACAAUUAAUUUCAAUAAUAUAUUUUAUGGGAUCUACUAUUUUUCAACCACACAUUUCGUCGAUUUUAUCAAAAUUUACUAAAAAUCUUAUUUAAUCCCCCACUAAAUAAAAACUAGAUAAGGAUCAUAUGGGGUCGAUUUGGUGGAUAUGAUAAGUGUGAGAGAAAAAUACCAUCUGCUACAUUAUAAUAAAAACCAGCAAAAGUAUCUGUAUCCAUUCUUGCUGGAGAAUUAAAUGAAUAUAAUAGCGGAAUGGGGUUAGAGUAAAAAAUGGAGAUUGAUCCUGCUGCGAAAUAUCAAUUUUCAUACAGAUUUCAAGAUAAGGUUUUCUUCAAUCAAGUGAACAUGUAAAAAUAUAUACGAUAUUUGAGUAGUCAACUUUUUAACUGGAGUAAAUUAAUAUUUAUCCUGAUCAAUAAUUUUAUAUUGAUUAAAUUAAUUGUUAUCCCAAUCAAUAUUUGUAUAUAUAUUGACUGGAUUUGCUGUACAAUUUAUUUUUCUUUUUAUUUCCACAUAAUAAAAAAGGAAAAAAAGUCCAGUUAUAAAAUUGGAAAUUGUAUUGAGAGUAGACAAAUUCAUUGAGCAAACAUUCCAAGACAGACAUUAAUCAAACUAAGCUGAUCGAUAAAAACUAGCGAACUGUUAAAUCAAAUCGAAAUCAUCUUCUUGUCCAAAAAUCACUUCGAGCCAUGUCUAUAUGAGGAGCUCAUUUAAAUUUAAUAGAGAUAUUGAUAGCUUCCAUCAUUGGUGAGAAUUGUUCUACUGUAAUAAAACAAUUGAUGAUCAACUUGCUUCUUUUUGCCAAAACUUCAUGUUGGUAUAAACUUCAUUUGUUUAAAAUUGAUCGCUGAAAGUAAACAUCAUACACAAUUUGAUUACUUCGAACGUAAACUAACUAGAAAAGAUAAUGUGACAACUUGAAACAAAGUUUUAUUUAAUGAACAUCGAACAAAAUGAUCGCUAAAAGUUUGUUGCUCACUAAUCCUAUUGGCAAAGGAGUAUGUACAUCGGAGAAAGUCAGCUUUUGAAACCAAAACCUUUUUGCUAUGGGUUUUAUUACUUAUCAAGUCAGGGUAGCCUGCUAGCGAUUUGACUUUAUUUGGAUUCUUGAGAAGAAAGGAGCCGUGCUGGUCACCCCGGACCGCCUGGAUCCCAAUUUUAAUCUCCUAACCAAUGUUGUUGUGUUCAACUUACAAACAUGCCGUAUUGUUUUGUGAAAUUAAGUUCAAACAAAACCUAAUAUAUUUAAGGGUAGAUGUAAAUGUGAAAGGACUUUUUGCAUGAUAUACUUCCAUGAGUCUCGAGUUCUGAUCGAGAAACCAUUUCCUAUAUAUCAUCAUUUUUACAGUUAAAAGCUAAAGAGUGGUUCGUCCUAUAAAUGCAGAUAAUUGUUCGUAGAAGUUAUAUCUCCAUAUAAUUUUCUCUAAUCAAAUGUAGAUAAUUAUUCAUAAAAUCCAAAAAUAGCUGCACAAAACGUAACUUUGAUUCAUUUUCCCUUAUUCAAAAUCAUACAACAGACAAUUAUUUGAGGUUUGCUGAUUUGCUCAUUUAAAGCAUUCUUCCAUCAAAUGGAAAUGCUAUCAGGCACACCCUUUCCUGCUACACCUGCUUCAGAAAAUCGCUUCAAAAGCUUAUAUUUAUACAUAGGCCAAUAUGAUUCAUGCAUUUUCAUGCUAAUUACAUUGCCAUUUGCAUCGAUUUCCUAAUGAACAUAUAUAAAUAAAAUAAAAAUGUUGUAGCAAAUGUAGAUAGCAACUCGAAAUCAAGUUAUAUUAAGCCCGGGGUUUGGUACAAAUUAAAAUAAAGAUUUUAAUUUAUGUUAAAAUUAAUAAUUAAUUUUAAACAUACAUUUUAUGGGAUCUACAAUUUUUUAAAUCACACAUUUUAUCAAUUUCUAUUAAAAAUUUGUUUUUAAUCCUACCAAACAAGGGCAAAAUGACCAACUUCGAACAAAAUGAACGCUAAAAGUUCAUUGAUCACUAAUGAUUUUAAUCUCCGAACCAAUAUUAUCGAGAUCAACUUACAAACAUGCCACACUGUUUUGUGGAAUUAAGUUUGAACAAAACCUAAUAUAUUUAAGGGUGGGUGUAAUUGUAAAUGUGAAGGAAUUUUUACAUGAUAAUACUUUCGUGAAUCUCAAGUUCUGUUCGAGAGACCAUUUUCAUAGAAGUUAUCUCCAUAUAGUUUCCUCUAAAAUUUUAUUCAUAAAAUCCAAGAAUAGCUUUAACAAGUGUAACUUUUAUUCAUUUUCCCUUUUCCAAAUUCAUACAGGAGACAAUCAUUUGAAGUUUGCUAAUAUAUAGCAUUCUUACAUCAAAUGGAAACGCUGUUAGGCACACCCUUUCCUGUUACACCUGCUUCGGAAAAUGGCUUCAAAAGCUGAUAUGGAACUACUCCAGCUCCAGAUCUAUUCAUCAGAUCACAAUUAGUAUUCCUAGCAUCAAUAAUUCCUUCAAUCUCUUUCACUUUCCCAGCGAACUGU
RNAcentral lists this long non-coding RNA (22530 nucleotides) under Olea europaea (common olive). RNAcentral's name for it is "long non-coding RNA (OEUR_LNC001438)". Lineage: Eukaryota; Viridiplantae; Streptophyta; Magnoliopsida; Lamiales; Oleaceae. The record is from RNAcentral.